UCCACGCCGUAAACGAUGACUACUAGGUCGUGGCAAUUCUGACGUUGUCGCGGCCGAAGCAAAAGUGUUAAGUAGUCCGCCUGGGGAGUACGGUCGCAAGGCUAAAACUCAAAGGAAUUGACGGGGGCUCACACAAGCGGUGGAGCAUGUGGCUUAAUUCGAAGCAACGCGAAGAACCUUAUCCUGGGUUUGACAUGUAUGGAUGCCCUUUGCGAAAGCAAAGUAAGCUGCCUUCGGG
RNAcentral lists this ribosomal RNA (238 nucleotides) under uncultured bacterium. Its description in RNAcentral is "partial 16S ribosomal RNA". It matches the Rfam family "Bacterial small subunit ribosomal RNA", at positions 794 to 1024 of the family's 1533-position model. The record is from RNAcentral.